Molecule: ribosomal RNA, 360 nt
Filed under: uncultured bacterium
Lineage: Bacteria
Description: partial 16S ribosomal RNA
Rfam family: Bacterial small subunit ribosomal RNA
Source: RNAcentral
CCUACGGGAGGCAGCAGUGAGGAAUAUUGGUCAAUGGCCGGAAGGCUGAACCAGCCAAGCCUCGUGAGUGAGGCAGGCUCAGAGCGUCUCAGACCUCUUUUGCCGGGGGACAAAAGUCCCGGCUCGUCCGGUCCUGAGGGUACCCGGAUAACAAGCAUCGGCCAACACCGUGCCAGCAGCCGCGGUAAUACGGAGGAUUCGAGCGUUUUCCGGAUUCAUGGGGUUUAAUGGGUGCGCAGACGGGCCUUCAGGCCGGCGGUGAAAUCGCGGGGCUCAACCCCGCCUAGCCGGCGGAACUGGGGGCCUUGAGUGCGGCGGAGGCAUGCGGAAUGCGCGGUGUAGCGGUGAAAGGCAUAGAUA